This 468-nucleotide ribosomal RNA is filed under the name uncultured bacterium. Its description in RNAcentral is "partial 16S ribosomal RNA". It matches the Rfam family "Bacterial small subunit ribosomal RNA", at positions 28 to 507 of the family's 1533-position model. The record is from RNAcentral.
GACGAACGCUGGCGGCGUGCUUAACACAUGCAAGUCGAACGGAAAGGCCCUGCUUUUGUGGGGUGCUCGAGUGGCGAACGGGUGAGUAACACGUGAGUAACCUGCCUUUGACUUUGGGAUAACUUCAGGAAACUGGGGCUAAUACCGGAUAGGAGCUCCUGCUGCAUGGUGGGGGUUGGAAAGUUUCGGCGGUUGGGGCUGGACUCGCGGCUUAUCAGCUUGUUGGUGGGGUAGUGGCUUACCAAGGCUUGGACGGGUAGCCGGCCUGAGAGGGUGACCGGCCACAGUGGGACUGAGGUACGGCCCAGACGGCUACGGGAGGCAGCAGUGGGGAAUAUUGCACGAUGGGCGGAAGCCGGAUGCAGCAACGCCGCGUGGUGGAUGACGGCCGUCGGGUUGGAAACCGCUUUCGCCUGUUACGAAGCGUGAGUGACGGUAAUGGGUAAAGAAGCACCGGCUAACUACGUG